Amphimedon queenslandica is the source of this 263-nucleotide long non-coding RNA. RefSeq lists it as uncharacterized. The record is from RefSeq and is a predicted model, not a curated record. NCBI's taxonomy places the organism in Eukaryota, Metazoa, Porifera, Demospongiae, Haplosclerida, Niphatidae. The transcript is spliced from 3 exons.
CGAUUGUAUUUAAUUGAGGACAAACCUCUAGUAGAAGCUCCACCUACUGGUAUCACACCCACUUUAUUUUAUUUGACCAAGGUGAGGGGCAUACCUGAUCCGUAUAAUGAUCCUAGAUACACUGUUGGGAUAAAAAAUAUUCUAUUCAUGGCAACUUGAUUGGUUCAGCUCAGUUUAACUACAUGUUUGACAUCAAAUGGUUGCUAGAUCAGUAUCCUGAAGACAAGAGGUUUUCUAUUACAAUGAAUGCAUUACUGUCAGUG